This is a long non-coding RNA of Ictalurus punctatus (channel catfish), 1088 nucleotides long. RefSeq lists it as uncharacterized. NCBI's taxonomy places the organism in Eukaryota, Metazoa, Chordata, Actinopteri, Siluriformes, Ictaluridae. The record is from RefSeq and is a predicted model, not a curated record. The transcript has 3 exons.
AAAUUCCAGUCCUUUUCCAGGCGCCUGUCUGAUCCAAGCCAUCCAGUAGCUACUAAAGUCGAAUCCAGAAGCUGUGCAGAUGUGUGUUUUGUACAGAUUUGAGUGUGUGGAGCUUCUAUCACUGAUACCAACUUUACACAGCUCAGAUUCAACAACCUGCUCAAAAGCUUUUGAAUGUAUUUUCACAACCAGAUGACGUUAUGAGCAGCUAUGGAACAACACACACGAAGAUAAUGGAGACAAUAAUGUCCAAAUAUUUAAAGAAGACUUGGAUAAGAAGACUUUGCCCUAACGAUCUGUGCCACACAGCUCUUGUUUAAAGAGCUUGUAUUUGAAAUAAAGAUAGGAGUUGCACCUGUUGUUAUUUUGUUGUUUUCUCUUAGUUGAAUGACUGUUUAAUUUUUUUCUUGGUGCCAUCAUCUCUUGUUCCAGUGCGAUCUUAUUUAAUAACAUCCAAUUCAUUUACCACUGACUUACUUUCAGGUGUUUAUUUUGUCUGAUAUAGGGAUCGUAUUGCGACAAGGUGCAUAUGAACAGCUGUGUGGGGAAAUGUAGGUCAUGUUGUUCUAAAUGCGAGCUAGAUUAUAACAAAAAUAGGUUAUAAUAGAAUUAAAAAUGCACAAUCGUGUACACAGUGAGUGAAGCCUAUAGGAAAUUCAAUUUAGAUAGUUUACUUAAUGUUGAAACGUAUGACGUUGAAACAUCAUCAGGAUAUCAACGCUGAUUCAAUUUACAAAAGCGAAACCAAUUUCAACGGUGAUGCAACGUUGAAAUGUCGGCUGGGCCUGCUCAGGCAAGGAGAUGUUCAGUAAUUUAUUAUCUUAAUUUUAUGCUGUUAUUUAUUUCUUACUUUGCAUGUUACACGUGACGCGGACUCGACUGUAAUCGGAAACAUUUCCGAGUCCAAAAUGUCCGAGUCCGUGUCAAGUUCAAAUGUAAAAUUUACCCGAGUGUGUGACAAGUCCGACUUAAUUCAUAAUUGGACUCGAGUCCGAGUCCGUUAUCGAGAAUCCCAAUUAAUUCUAAAGUCCGGUUUGCCAAAUAUAUCUGAGUGAAGACCCCAAAAAAUGUUAUACUGUACAAAAACC